Molecule: ribosomal RNA, 253 nt
Filed under: uncultured bacterium
Lineage: Bacteria
Description: partial 16S ribosomal RNA
Rfam family: Bacterial small subunit ribosomal RNA
Source: RNAcentral
UACGUAGGGGGCAAGCGUUGUUCGGAAUUACUGGGCGUAAAGCGUGCGCAGGCGGUUUUGCAAGACAGAUGUGAAAUCCCCGGGCUUAACCUGGGAACUGCAUUUGUGACUGCAAGGCUAGAGUGUGUCAGAGGGAGGUGGAAUUCCGCGUGUAGCAGUGAAAUGCGUAGAGAUGCGGAGGAACACCGAUGGCGAAGGCAGCCUCCUGGGAUAACACUGACGCUCAUGCACGAAAGCGUGGGGAGCAAACAGG